RNAcentral lists this ribosomal RNA (164 nucleotides) under Glossogyne tenuifolia. Its description in RNAcentral is "5.8S ribosomal RNA". It matches the Rfam family "5.8S ribosomal RNA". Rfam says of the family: 5.8S ribosomal RNA (5.8S rRNA) is a component of the large subunit of the eukaryotic ribosome. It is transcribed by RNA polymerase I as part of the 45S precursor that also contains 18S and 28S rRNA. Functionally, it is thought that 5.8S rRNA may be involved in ribosome translocation. The record is from RNAcentral. Lineage: Eukaryota; Viridiplantae; Streptophyta; Magnoliopsida; Asterales; Asteraceae. RNAcentral also lists the same sequence under 1 other name.
UAAACGACUCUCGGCAACGGAUAUCUCGGCUCACGCAUCGAUGAAGAACGUAGCAAAAUGCGAUACUUGGUGUGAAUUGCAGAAUCCCGUGAACCAUCGAGUUUUUGAACGCAAGUUGCGCCCGAAGCCAUCCGGCUGAGGGCACGUCUGCCUGGGAGUCACGC